GGCAGUUUGGUUUAAUGGUAAAGCACUUGAUAUAUAAUCAGAGAGAUGUGAGUUCGAGUCUUAUGGCUGGCCA
This is a non-coding RNA of Octopus bimaculoides (California two-spot octopus), 73 nucleotides long. The record is from Rfam. NCBI's taxonomy places the organism in Eukaryota, Metazoa, Mollusca, Cephalopoda, Octopoda, Octopodidae.